GAUGAACGCUGGCGGCGUGCUUAACACAUGCAAGUCGAACGAAGCGCUUGAAACGGAUUCUUCGGAUGAAGUUUCCCGUGACUGAGCGGCGGACGGGUGAGUAACGCGUGGGUAACCUGCCUCAUACAGGGGGAUAACAGUUAGAAAUGGCUGCUAAUACCGCAUAAGCGCACGGCAUCGCAUGAUGCAGUGUGAAAAACUCCGGUGGUAUGAGAUGGACCCGCGUUGGAUUAGCUAGUUGGCAGGGUAACGGCCUACCAAGGCGACGAUCCGUAGCCGGCCUGAGAGGGUGGACGGCCACAUUGGGACUGAGACACGGCCCAGACUCCUACGGGAGGCAGCAGUGGGGAAUAUUGCACAAUGGGGGAAACCCUGAUGCAGCGACGCCGCGUGAGCGAAGAAGUAUUUCGGUAUGUAAAGCUCUAUCAGCAGGGAAGAAAAUGACGGUACCUGACUAAGAAGCCCCGGCUAACUACGUGCCAGCCGCCGCCGUAA
RNAcentral lists this ribosomal RNA (495 nucleotides) under uncultured bacterium. RNAcentral's name for it is "partial 16S ribosomal RNA". It matches the Rfam family "Bacterial small subunit ribosomal RNA", at positions 28 to 523 of the family's 1533-position model. The record is from RNAcentral.